GACGGGGGCCCGCACAAGCGGAGGAACAUGUGGUUUAAUUCGAUGAUACGCGAGGAACCUUACCCGGGCUUGAACUGCAGGUGAACGAUCCAGAGAUGGUGAGGUCCUUCGGGACACCUGUGGAGGUGCUGCAUGGUUGUCGUCAGCUCGUGCCGUGAGGUGUCGGCUUAAGUGCCAUAACGAGCGCAACCCUUUUCUCUAGUUGCCAUCAGGUUAAGCUGGGCACUCUGGAGACACUGCCACCGUAAGGUGUGAGGAAGGUGGGGAUGACGUCAAAUCAGCACGGCCCUUACGUCCGGGGCUACACACGUGUUACAAUGGGGAGUACAGCGAGUCGGUCGUAUGCAAAUGCGAUCCAAUCAUGAAAGCUCUCCUCAGUUCGGAUUGGGGUCUGCAACCCGACCCCAUGAAGCUGGAUUCGCUAGUAAUCGCGCAUCAGCCAUGGCGCGGUGAAUACGUUCCCGGGCCUUGUACACACCGCCCGUCAAGCCAUGAAAGCCGGGGGCUCUUGAAGUCCGGGAAAGCGAGGGUCGGCC
Molecule: ribosomal RNA, 536 nt
Filed under: uncultured bacterium
Lineage: Bacteria
Description: bacterial SSU rRNA
Rfam family: Bacterial small subunit ribosomal RNA
Source: RNAcentral